AUUGAAAACGAAAGUAGAAAGGUUGCGCAGCUGUCUGCAAAAAAACAUGGCGAUGCUCAUUGUGUCCACGUGGAAGACAGAAGUUACGUACAUAAUAGAUUCGAUUUACAAGAAAUGACUGAAUUAUGUUCGUAACAAUGACACAAAGAUCCAAGACUCAAAAUAGAAGACCCAGGAUAUUUAGCAAUCCAUCUGACAAUUUACUUGUCUGCAUUAAUUCUCUUUGAAAGCUAGUCUAUUAUUAAGCUUUGAAAUGAAAUAUUAAAAGUAUUAAAGACAAGUG
Molecule: long non-coding RNA, 283 nt
Organism: Saccostrea cuccullata (small rock oyster)
Lineage: Eukaryota; Metazoa; Mollusca; Bivalvia; Ostreida; Ostreidae
Exons: 2
Source: RefSeq, a predicted model, not a curated record